RNAcentral lists this ribosomal RNA (220 nucleotides) under uncultured prokaryote. RNAcentral's name for it is "partial 16S ribosomal RNA". It matches the Rfam family "Bacterial small subunit ribosomal RNA", at positions 524 to 743 of the family's 1533-position model. The record is from RNAcentral.
UACGAAGGGAGCUAGCGUUGUUCGGAAUCACUGGGCGUAAAGCGCACGUAGGCGGACUUGUCAGUCAGGGGUGAAAUCCCGGAGCUCAGCUUCGGAACUGCCUCUGAUACAGCAAGUCUCGAGUCCGGAAGAGGUGGGUGGAAUUCCUAGUGUAGAGGUGAAAUUCGUAGAUAUUAGGAAGAACACCGGUGGCGAAGGCGCCCCACUGGUCCGGUACUGA